Molecule: ribosomal RNA, 421 nt
Filed under: uncultured bacterium
Lineage: Bacteria
Description: partial 16S ribosomal RNA
Rfam family: Bacterial small subunit ribosomal RNA
Source: RNAcentral
AAUAUUGUACAAUUGGGGCAACCCUUAUCCAUCCAUGCCGCGCGUGUGAAGAAGGUCUUCGGAUUGUAAAGCACUUUAUGUUGGGAGGAAGGGCUUUAGGUUAAUACACUUAAGUUCUGACGUUACCAGCAGAAUAAGCACCGGCUAGCUCUGUGCCACCAGCCGCGGUAAUACAGAGGGUGCAAGCGUUAAUCGGAAUUACUGGGCGUAAAGCGCGCGUAGGUGGUUUGUUAAGUUGGGAGUGAAAGCCCCGGGCUCAAACUGGGAACUGCUUUCAUAACUGCUGAGCUAGAGUACGGUAGAGGGUAGUGGAAUUUCAUGUGUAGCGGUGAAAUGCGUAGAUAUAGGAAGGAACACCAGUGGCGAAGGCGACUACCUGGACUGAUACUGACACUGAGGUGAGAAAGCGUGGGGAGCAAAC